Octodon degus (degu) is the source of this 361-nucleotide RNA transcript. It is a transcript of the gene named prothymosin alpha-like, with no coding region annotated. The transcript has a single exon. NCBI's taxonomy places the organism in Eukaryota, Metazoa, Chordata, Mammalia, Rodentia, Octodontidae. The record is from RefSeq and is a predicted model, not a curated record.
AUGUCAGACACUGCCAUGGACACCAGCUCAGAGAUCACCACCAAGGACUUGAAGGAAAGAAGGAGGUUUGCGGAGAAUGGCAGAGACGCCCUUGCGAGUGGGAAAGCUAAGUAGGAGAAUGGGGAGCAGGAGGCCGACAAAGAGGUAGGCAAGGAAGACAAGGAAGGUGAAGGGGGGGGGGGAGGAGGAAGAAAGUGAUGGUGAGGAAGAGGAUGGAGAUGAGGAUGAGAAGGCAGAGGCAGCUAUGGGCAAGUGGGCAGUUGAGGACAAUGAGGAUGACGACGUGGAUACCAAGAAGCAGAAGACCGACGAGGAUGACUAGACAGAAAAAAAAAAAAAAAAAAAAAAGGAAAAGUUAACU